Molecule: long non-coding RNA, 27562 nt
Filed under: Zea mays
Lineage: Eukaryota; Viridiplantae; Streptophyta; Magnoliopsida; Poales; Poaceae
Description: long non-coding RNA (ZMAY_LNC000352)
Source: RNAcentral
GAUGAGGACAUCCUCCACUAUUACCCGUUGGCAAAGACGCAAUUGGCCCAGUUGGCCCAAUUGUAGUCGGACGACGACCGUGUGAGCCUCAGAAUUAUCCCACCUCGCUUAACUUGGGAGGAGGAAGCCACUUUAAAAGGGAGAGCCACCCUUCCCCCAUUGGACUAGUCUUUUGGGGCGAUUGGGCCUUUCCCUGAGUUGGGUGUGCUUAAUGAACUGUUGGGCUCCGGGCAACCCUAAUUUGUUGGGCCUUGGCCAACCCCACCUGGGCUGGGUGUAUCAUCUGGUAUCAAAGCUAGGGCCCAUUUUAAGAAGGUGGGAAUGAUGAGGACAUCCUCCACUAUUACCCGUUGGCAAAGACGCAAUUGGCCCAGUUGGCCCAAUUGUAGUCGGACGGCGACCGUGUGAGCCUCAGAAUUAUCCCACCUCGCUUAACUUGGGAGGAGGAAGCCACUUUAAAAGGAAGAGCCACCCUUCCCCCAUUGGACUAGUCUUUUGGGGCGGUUGGGCCUUUCCCUGAGUUGGGUGUGCUUAAUGAACUGUUGGGCUCCGGGCAACCCUAAUUUGUUGGGCCUUGGCCAACCCCACCUGGGCUGGGUGUAUCACCUACAAGUAUGGUCUCAAGUCAAUGACAAGGUUGUAGCGUCUUUUUUGCUCACAUCUCUCUAAGGACAGAGGCAUGGAAAUUUAUGAUGGCCUAGAUGCGUGCCUCGUAGUGCAUGUCCACGACGAGCUUCUUAAAUCACGUGGUAGCCAGCACAACCCCUGCCCUCAUAUCUAGCCUCGCAUCUAAAGGAAUCCUGCAUACAAACACGAUGUAUCCAUACAUUAUUUCAAGAAUGUGCAACGAAUGUGAAGUAUUAAACAUUAUAGUGCGAGAAAGACUUACCCACAACUCUUGCUUCACCCGCUCCACCUUGUUAUUAAAUUCCAUGCUAUCUCGAUCUUCUGCAUCAAGGGCGACAUCGUAGUGGUCGAAGGAAAAGGCUAGGGAAGGGUAUCCGCCAUAGCCAACAAUCCUAGGGAAGUGUUCCCUGACCAAAACUCUUAAUCCGAUUACAAUGUUAAUUUAGCCAUAACAAUAUCAAUAACAAUGUUAGCCUUGGUUCAUAAUAACAAUAAUAAUCUGUAAUUUAGCCAUUACAAUCUCAACAUAUAACAAUAUGAACCUAUAAUCUAAACCUAUAACAAUAAACGAGCAACAAUCAAGUAAUUUAUAAUAGUAAAUAGAGAAAUAAUCACGUAACUAGAUUUAUUUUCUCCUUGCAAGAUUUUCACCUUUGGGGUGGCCAGAUCUAGGGACAAAAGGGCGGGGAUGGUAUCUAUGAUGAAGAAACAUCUAGGAAUAAACAUUUAGCAACUCAAGGUGACGAGUCGAGAAUGAGAGACAACUGCUGCAACGGAUGAGUGGAGGCCUCACGAUGAAGAAUUGCGAAUGAUAGGGUGGCACGAUGAUGGGUUGGAUCGGAUCCGAUCUGAGUUUGGCUAAUUGCAGGCGACAAUCGAGUGGGAAGGGUGGGCAGUGGUGGGGCAAAAUCAAUUUGGGUGGGCUAAUGCACAUGCAGGGGUGCUUCAGUGUGAUUUUAAUCUAUGUGGCUAGUUCAGGUGAUGGGUCUCUGGUCCGUCACCAUAGGUGAUAAAUAGUGCAACCACAUAUAUAUAUAUAUAUGUAUAUAGAAAGGUAUAUUGGAAGCUCUGGGCUUUCAAAUGCUAGAGGAAGCCCUGACCGGCCACCCCUGCGCCCUUGGACCAUGCCGGCACGCCCUCACACCCCAUGCCUGUGUGUACUACGUCAAACCUCCCCCACGUGCGUCAGUCAAACCCACGGUCCAACAUCCUAACUGUUGGGGCCUUCCUCUUCCGAAGGUCCUUAAAAACAUGACUAACCAUCUGCUUUUAGUAUAACAUGAAUUGUUAUAGGGAGCUUCGGCUUCAGGAUGGAGGUUUUCUCCCAUGGCAAAGGUAUACAAGACGAAGAUAUAGCCCGAAGAUGAUAAGAUUGAACGCUGAAGCUAUAGCCGAAGAGUAACAGCUUCGGCUUAGAAUGAUGAUGAAGACCAAACAUGAUGUUGACCCGAAGAGGAAAAGACUAGCUAGUCCCUAAUGAUAUAUGUUAUAGUUACGAGUAAACGUUAAGGAUACAAAUGUACUUUUACUCGGGCUGCGUCCCGUGCCUAUAAAUAGAUGAACAAUAGCACCGUUUUUUCACGCUGGAUUGUAAUCGCUCUCGCGUCAGCACCUUCUAACAAGCCGAAGGUUUCAAUGUAAUGUAAAUUUUGUUAAUGUUCGUGUAUACAUUAUGAAAUACAUAUGUGAAUGAGCCAAUUGAUUACAUUCAUUAUCUCUAUGUAUUGUUAUUCAUUUAUGAAUGAUGAAUACAUGUCCUUCAUGAAUUUCGUGUGAAGAUCAUUAUAUCCAAGAAGAGAUAAUGCUUCGGAGGACGAAGGUCCUUAAUCCUGAACAAUUGUGUUGCCUUGUUCUUGAUUUACAUCAUUUGAGAACAAGUGAUCAACAUUAGCGCCCACCUCCGGUGAACUCAAACGACCACCUUACGCAAGCAUUCAUCUUCGUCAUGCCGCCGAAGAAGGCAACAACGCCAGGGGCUGCCCUGCAGCCACUAGACACCAACCAAGAGACUCUCUCGCUGAGAGAAGCCCGGAGCCAGAAAAGGAAGGCUACCAGCCCAACACUUCAUGAGGAGGAGUUAGACAAAGAAAUCAGAGACCUAGAAGCCAUACACCAACAAGUGCAGAGGAAGAGAGAAAAGAUGCUUCGGCUAGCCGACCUUCAAAGGAAGAUCGACGAAGCUACUGAAGAAAUGCGUCACAUCACCCAAGAUUACCAAGGACGAAGGCCUCAAUAGAGAGAGCUUCGUCAAGAGAGUCUAAUCAAUGAUGAAUGUGAAAGUCGCCUAGAGGGGGGUGAAUAAGCGAAACCUGAAAAUUUACAAACUUUGAACACGCACUAUGCCCGGGGUUAAUGUUAGAAUUAAUUCGAAGUGCAGAAGAUAGUUCUUCUUGCUAUGAGUUGCUCAAUCAAUGUGGAUAACUUUGGGAGCUAACUCAAAUCAAUAUGAGCAAGGGAACUUUUAGAGAGAUGAAAGAAGGGGAAACAAAUCAAGUGGAGAUCAACACAAAUGAACACGGUGAUUUGCUUACCGAGGUUCGGUUCCAAAGAACCUAGUCCCUGUUGAGGAGGCCACAAAGGCUGGGUCUAUUCCAACCCUUUCCGUCUCUCAAUCGAUCACACAGACCGAUCGAGUUCUUAUCCUUAAUCACUUGUGUCACUAAGACCCUGCAAGGAUCACCACACACUUAGGAGUCUCUUGCUAGCUUUACAAAGCACUUAGAGGAAUUAGAAUGAGAAGGAGAAAGCAAUCCAAGCAACAAGAGCAACAAAAGAAACACAAAACACCCUCUCUCAAGUCACUAAGCAAUUGAGUUGAUUUUGAGGCUUGGAGAGGAUUUGAUCUUUUGGAUGUGUUUUGGAGUGAAUGCUUUUGCUCUUGUAAUGAAUGUGGAGUUCAAAAAACUUGGAUGUCUUGAAUGGUGGUGGUUGGGGGUAUUUAUAACCCCAACCACUAUUCUAGCCGUUGCUGUCGAUGGCACACCGAACAGUCCGGUGGUGCACCAGACAUGGCACUAUUCAUUGUCCGGUGCUUGCCAAGUCAGCAGACCGUUGGGGUUUGGAGCGGUUGACCGUUGAAGUUCCUUGUCCUCUUGUUGCACCGCACAGUCCGAUGGCACACCGGACAGUCCGGUGCGUUCUGACUUCGCAGCUCUGACUUCAGACUUUGGCACUGUGCAAUUUUAAUGUUCACCGCAGUCGACCGUCGGGCGCAGUUGACCGUUGCUCCGUUGGCUCACCGGACUUGUCCGGUGAAUUAUAGCGGAGUUACUCUGGGAAAAACCCGAGAGCGGCCAGUUCGUGGGGUGCUCGACCUGGGCACCAGACAGUGUCCGGUGCACCACUGGCAGCACCAAUGCUUGUAUUUGCUCCAAACUUUAUAGAGUUCCCAACUUAUUUUCUUUGUUGGUUUAUGUUUAACUUUAUGCACCUGAGAUAAAUGAUAACUAGGCAAACUUUGCAGAUAAAUGAUGGACGUCAAACACCAAAAUCGAUUAAAGGAAAUGAUUAAGCUCAUUUCCAUUUCAAUCUCCCCCUUUUUGGUGAUUGAUGCCAACACAAACCAAAACAAAUAUAAAGUGUAGGAAUGUAAUUAGUUUGCAAUUUUGAUAGAUGUGCAAAAAGUUACUUGAAUUUAAACCAUCUGUAAGUAAUUUUACGUAUAUAUGAUUGCUUUCUUCUAGAUUAACAUUUUGGACCACAUUUGCACCACUUUGCUUGUUUUUGUAAAUCUUUUUGUAAAAGUCUUUUCAAAUUCUUUUGCAAAUAGCCAAUGGUAUAAGAAUAACUCUAUGUAUUUUGUUAAUGUUCGUGUGUACAUUAUGAAAUACAUAUGUGAAUGAGCCAAUGGAUUACAUUCAUUAACUCUAUGUAUUCUUAUUCAUUCAUGAAUGAUGAAGACAUGUCUUUCAUGACUUUCAUCUAAAGAUCAUUAUAUCCAAGAGAAGAUAAUGCUUCGGAGGGCGAAGGUUCUUAAUCCUUAACAAUUGUGUUGCCUUGUUCUUGAUUUACAGUAUUUGAGAAGAAGUGACCAACACUAAUCCCUCAUGGGACACACACCAUAAAUUGAGGUUCUGUUUUUUUGCGCAAAUAGCAUAAAUAGUUCACAAAAUAGUGUAACUAGUUCAUAGAGAUGGCAUAAAAACCUUGUCCAGCAACUGGACACAUGCACACGCGCAGACGCAUGCACGCAGAUCCUAUUUUUAUGGUAGAUCACAAUUAUGGCAGAUCGUGGGAGGUUCCAUUGUAUGUUCGCAAAUUUUGGAUGAUAUUUUCGUUUCCACUGCAUACGUGCAAAAUUUGGAUGACUCUAUAAAUAUAGGAUCGCUCUAACAGCCAUACAACUAGGCUCGUUAUAACCAGUUUAUGAUAUAUACUAAUACUAAUUAUGCUACACGAUGUAGUUAUUUAUGCCACUUGGUACAUUGUGUAAAAAUCUGUUUACUGUUUCAUACGCACAAAUUUAGGAUGACAGGAAUGUGCAAUGAAUGGAAAUGUAUUGACAUGCAUGGAAACAAAAAUUUUUAUUUAAAUGCUUUAUUUUCUCUAUAAAUAUAAGAUCACUCCAACAACAAGGCAACUAGGCUCGUUAGAACAACUUAUGAUAUAUACUUAUACUAAUUAUGCUACACGAUGUAGGUAUUUAUGCAAUACGGUACACUGCGUAAAAAUCUGGUAUGCGGUUCAUUGAUGAACAUAUCUCCAUGUUCGGGGGUAAAAACAUUCAGUUUUGAGCGCAAAACCCGCAGUUAUGAGUGCAAAUGGCCUUAUAUCCGGUAGCGGUUACCUUUUUGUGAAUUUUGUUACAUUGCAUAAAUGUGUAUGUCAUAAAUAUCUAAUACAUAUGGCGUAAAUGGUACGAACCUCAUAUACACACUGGGUUAGGUAACGAUAUAAUGCAUAAAAUCAAUACAUGUUUGCGUAAAAUGUGAAAAUAUCAUAAACAUACAAUAGAUGGAAAGCGAUGCCAUGAACUAAAAUAUAUGUCGUAAAAACCUAAUGACGUUGGCAUAAAUAUGUAUACAAAGUAGCAUAAAUAUGUUCGUCGCUCGCACCUAAGGGAGACGUCGCCGCCUCUAAUGACGUUGCCAUCGCGCGUCCUAGGGGCCCGCUGCUGCUGUGCACCCCCGGGAACCGUCGCCUCCCCUCUGGGACCUGCCAUAGCUCGCGCCUAGGGGAGCCCCCCAGCGCCUAGUCAAUUCUGCCGCUGCCACUCCCACCUCGAAUGUGUUGCUAUCAUGCACGUCUUAGAGGACCGUUGACGCGCGCGUGCCCCCUAGGUCCACUGCCGUAGCCACUCCCACCUCGUAUGCGUUGUAUGUGACAGGCCAGAUCUGACACUCACUGGGAUCCACCACCGCUCCCACCCGUCGCCGCGCCUCCGGACGGGGGAGCCGCCACUGCGCCUCCGGACGGGGGAGCCGCCACUGCGCCUCUGGAUCGUGAGCCAUCGCCCGCCUGCCUCGGGAUGCGCCGUCGCUCGCCAUCGCGAUUGCCGCUACUCGCACGCCUCGAGGGAACCGUCGCUACCGCUAAAACCGUAAUUCCUAACAAACUGGUCCGGCUCAACUAGAUGGCACGUCUAGCCUGAGCUUCUUCUUGUUAUUGGAAGCCCAGAGCUUAUAUAUAUGAAUGCACGAUGCAUGACCUAAAAUUGUUGUUACGCUCCAACGUAGGAUGUGUUUAGUUGGUGUAAGUAAAGUUUAGUACAUGUCGUAUCAUAUGUUUAAAUGUCAACUAUAGUCUAAUUAUAAAAUUAAUUAUAUAGAUGAAAACUAAACAUUGUUUCAAAUUUAUCAAUGCUAAUUAAUUAAUCUAUGAUUAACAAAUGUUUAUUGUAGCAUCACAUGUUAGGCUUAAUAGAUUCGUCUUGUUGUUCCGUCAUUAAUAGUGUAAUUAGUUUUGUAAAGACAACAUAUUCAAUAUAUUGAGCACUAGAACAGGCAGCGGACGGUCCGGCCUAGAGGCCGGACGAUCUGCGGUCCGGAGAGUCCACGCUGGUGGCGCGUACGGUCCACGCGCAUGCAGAAUCAGUUUGGAUUCCGAGUUUCUUACGAGAUUUGUUAGCUAAAUCUGCGGGAUUAACUCGGGAAAAUGCUUGUAACGGGUCCGGACCUCAUAUAUACACACACACACACACAUGGAGGGCUACACCGGAUUGGAACACCAACAAUCGAACAAAUAAUCAAUAUACAUCUAUUUCUUUAACUUUUGCAUUAGGAGUAGACAGUAAAUUAGAUUCCUCUAUCUAAAUCUUCACCUCUCUCCGGCUCUACGUCGAUUAGAGGCGUUUUUGGGUGGCCUGCCGAUCACAAGACAAAGUCUAGGAUCUCUCCUCCCCGACGGGGUCCCUAUCGGGAGCGAGAUUCAUGCGCUGCCAGCGAACUCCGCCGCCCCUGCGCACGCGCGGACCGUCCGGCUCGUCAAGCAGGAAUCCAACCCCUGCGCCAAGUCGCGGACCGUCCGGCCCCUGGCCGCAGACCAUUCGCGCAUCCGCAGAGAGCACUGUCGCUGGGUCUCAUCGUAGUGAUUGAUGCCCGGUUCAGCGCCAACACGAUACUUCUAAAUAACAUCUAAACAUCUAGUGUGACAUGGACUAAACUUUUGUUAUAACCAAAUAUGUCUUUAUUACAAGUAUGAAGACUAAUAAUUAUAACAAUUCUUUCCGAUGAUGCUUUCCAACGAGUCCUCAGCUCCCAGUCCAAUUCCUUUCUGUCUCUUGCUGCUUGUGCUCUUCCGGAGAUUAUGUCAAGGUCGUGGUCGUCGUCUGAGUCAUAACUAGUUAUCACUUUUUUUUCUGUUAGUCCGGCUACGCGUGCAUAUCUUUUUGUGGUUACAUCAGCCAUUAGGUGUCCUAAACAAGGGACAUAAACUAAUUCAUCGGCCGGCCAAGUACGUAGAUUAACGUGACAAAAGUGCCGCCGUGUCGUGUUGCGUCAUAUUCAUUAGACUUAAGUAAUUUAUUGACCCCUGGCUUAGUCUCAAGUACUGGUAGUAUAUAUCUUAGACGUCUUUGUUGGACCGAGUCGUGUGUCAUGGCUAGACCCGAGUCGCGGAAAUGUAAAAAAAAAUAUAUCAAGGCAGGGCUGUAGAGCUCUCGUCCUAGUUGCUCUCAAUAAUUCAUCGAAAAGAAGCCGUUUGGGAGGGCUUCCAAACCGUCUUCGGUUUUUGAGGUGCUCUCUCAGUCUUAAAAAAAAGCUUCCAACAAAAAACACUGAGAAGCCAGAGUCAAAGUUAUUUUCGAAGGGACUGGAGCCGUAUCAAACAUAACUCUAAUGUAUUGGAAACUUAUGUUCUCUCCGCUGAUUCUCAAGACCAGGAAUAUAGGACGAUAGGGUCGGUGGGCGCGGUCUUCCACGGCGAGGCAUCUUUGUCGCAUGCUUUUAUAAUUUGGUCAUAGUAAGCGUUUAGCCAAAAGAAUAUAUAAACUUACUUGACUUAUUAAAAUAACACGAUCUUAUUUUGAUGCUAUAUGAUUGGCAGUUUUUUCAGAGUCUAUUUAUUUGUUUAAAUAAAAGAUUACAUAAAAAAUAAAUUAUAGUUCAACAACCAAACACGUAAAAGCUGAUUUCCUACAUACUAGAGUAAAUAACAUCUUAGCACUCAUGAUCAAACACGUAAAGACUAAUUUCCUAAUAUGAGUAAAUGGUAACAUAGCACCAAAUGUUUUUUUCCAACACUACUACUACCCAUUAUAGUGCGAGCUACCAGCAUCCAUCAUCCAUCAGGCCAGUAUUAGAGCAGAUUAUUUGGAGCUUUGUAUAUAUAUAUGCCCCUUGACAGAGCAACGUCCCAUUUAGCCCUUGCUUUACUUCUAUGCCGAGGUAAUGUGGAUUAAUGCAGAUGUUGAUCACUCGCUUUUGAUCAUUCGCGGUAUUAAAAAUAAGGCAAGAUGAUUAGAUCAAGCUUCAUCUUCAUCCUUUAAUUCCUUAUCAGGGGGAAGGUUAAUUAAAGGAUGAAGACGUAGAAAAUGAGUAAAGGAAAUGUAAAGAAUACUUGGGGCAAAUCAUGCGUAAUAUAAAGAUAAGACACGCAAUUAACCUUAUAAGGUAAUUCUCCUCCUCCUUAUUGCUUAACAAAAGAUUACAUGUAAAACUUCGGCUCCGCGAAGUUACAGGAAGAAGAAGAAGGAAAUAUAGCUUCGAAGACAGAUCGGUCUGUUUCUCUCCGACUCAUAAAAAGUGUGAACAAUGCAUGUCACUAUUCCUCUAUUUAUAGUUACACGAUACAACUUUGACAAAAUUACAAUUGUGCCCUCAAUCCUAUACAUUUGAACUAUUGGAUAAAUUAAGGGUAGUGUUGUCUUUUCCUCUUGUCUUGUUUAGCAAGCCUUGAGGACUUAUCAUAGCUUCGUCUUGCUUCGUUAGAUACGCAAACACCUUGUUAAUCCAAGCUGAUGCCUUCGUACUUGCGCCCAUGGUUGUUAAGUUAGUGUUUUGAGGACCUUCGGAAGAAGGCCCCCAACAGCGAACGAAGAUCACUCAUCUUGAUUAUAGCUGCCAUACCUCCCAUGAACGACUUAAUGUCUUUGCAGCUAGACCUAGUGACCACAAGGUCAUCGACGUACACCCCAGUUACCAAUUACAUAACAUCAUUCCUCGUCCUUAUUACUUAACAAAAGAUUACGUGUAUACCUUCGGCUCCGCGAAGUUACAGGAAGAAGAAGAAGGAAAUAUAGCUUCGAAGACAUAUCGACCUGUUUCUCUCCGACCCAUAAAAAGUGCGAACAAUACAUGGCAUUGUUCCUCUUUUAAUAGUUGCGAGAUACAACUUCGACAAAAUUACAAUUGUGCCCUCAAGCUUAUACAUUUGAACUAGUGGACAAACUAAGGGUAGUGUUGUCUUUUCCUCUUGUUGUCUCGUUGAGCAAGCGUUGAGGACUUAUCAUAGCUUUGUUUUGCUUUAUUAGAUACGCAAACGCCUUGUUAAUCCAAGCUGAUGCCUUCGUACUUGUGCCCGUAGCUGUUCCAGCCGAUGAUGAACUUCGAUAUUCUACCUGUAACACUUUAAACAUGCUCGAAAAUAGCUAUUAAGUUAGUGUUUUGAGGACCUUUAGAAGAAGAAGGCCCCCAACAGUGAUCACUAUCUAGAUUAUAGCUGCCAUAGCUCCCAUAAACGCCUUAUUGUCUUUGCAGCUAGACCCAGUGAUCACAAGGUCAUCGACGACACCCUAAUUACCAAUUACUGUUGGGGACUUAUUCUCAAAUACUAUGCAUUAAGAACAAGGCAACACAAGAUUUUAAGUGUUAAUACCCUUCGUCCUUCGAAGCAUUAUUCCCCUUAAGAUAUAAUGAUCUUCAGACGAAGGGCAUGAAGGACAUACCUUCAUCAUUGUAAUAUGUACUAAUAAAAGAAGAAGCAUAUAUGAAGUGUAAGAGACAACAUAAGCAAUCAUAUAACAUUGUCAAUUCAUUCUUAUUAUAUUAUCAUGGAAAGAUAGAAAUAAUAUCGACUUACAAAAGUACCUUCAGCUUGGCAGAAGGCAAAAAACACCAGCGUGGCGCAAAAGCAAGUACAAGUCAGCGUGAAUAGUACGGGGGUACUGUUCACCUAUUUAUAGACACGGGACACAGCAUGUGUAAAAUUACAUCCAAGCCCUUUACAUUUGCUAAUAACUUUAAGGUAAUCCACCGAGGUCUAAAUAGCCUUUUCCCUUUUAAGUCGGUUCCCCUUUUCUGCCGUUAUGCCGAAGCUCCUUUGCACGUAGCUUCGGCGCUGCGUCAACCUUCGUAUUGUUCAUGCUUUUCACACCGUGUGAUUCUGAUCCGAGAUAGAAGGCACCUGUUCACAUAUUUCACUCGGAAAACAUUGUUAGAUUAUGUUUUUGAGGACCUUCGGAAGACGAAGGCCCCCAACAGUAGCCCCUCGCAAUAUUAAUUUGUUAGAAUAACGAAUUCAGAUUGCGACAUGGACAAAGGCCCUAACCCGAAGGUCCGAAAAAACACCUUCCCUUUGCUAGAAUAGCAACAGUCAAUGACAAACGGGACCCUCCAACUUGGAGCGCGUCGAUCGUAUAAAUAGGAACUCAUCCUAAGCACAUUUGGUACGCUACUUGCCGCUUGCUUUGUUAACUCAAUUUUUAGCUCUUGCUUGCCGACGCCUGCUUAGUUUCUCAGACUUCCUAAGCUUUGGUUUUAAGGACGCAUUUUCGUCAUUUUCGAAGAAAAGAUGUCUCAAGACAAAAAAGUUGCUGCUGAGACGAAGCUUAGCGAAGAGGAGAAGCUUCUUGAGGAGAAGACUGCUGAUGAGGACAUCACUAUCAUUGAUACAACCAUACCAGUGACCACUUCACCAUUCGUAGCUAAUCAAGGACCAAUGACACGAGCCCGUGCACGUAAACUUAAUUAUCAGGUGAACUCGUUCCUUGCCAUUGAAGCUAAUUCUUCUUUAAAUGAGGUACUAAAGCCUUACGAUGACUUUAUUAUGCUCAAUUGUUUGGGAGGUGAACCAUCUUGGACUGGAGAAGGCAACAAGGCAAUAAAGGCUGCUGCACCCGAGAGGAUUUCGUAACAGCAUCAAGUACAAGUUUAAAUGGGGCAUAUCUUCCAACUUCCAAGGCCGUUUAAUGCAAAUAAAUACUUAUUGGGAAGCUCCCUUCGUCUACUUGCUGGUGGAUCAAGAAUUAAUGGGAGACUACACCCGAGGCGUCCAGGAACUACCGAGGGAACUUCAUGACUCCACCAGAAUUCCUUCUUCCUAUUUCUCUAUUUAAGCAACUAGCAGCCACCAAAGAACUGGGGUUUUGUUUGAUGUAAGUUUAGCCUUUGCUACUUCCUUGUAAACGCGUGUGUCGGCUAGACCACCCGAAUACUUGAAACGGGACCCCAACUUUAUCAGAUCCGUGCGUGUUUGCUUGUUAUCUUGUUCUUGCUUGUUCUCGAUUGCUUGCAGGUUCAAGGCUGUUCUUGGCACGGCAAGAGCAGCAACAACAGGAGUCGGUGUAACUAUCGCUAAGGCGCAACACCCUUGUGGUUGUUGUAGUCGGAUAGCACAACGUCGACCUCCACCCCAAAUCGUAGUUAUCAGGAGACGGUGUACCUAUCGCUCAAGGAGCCACACCAUCUUGGUUGUGGUAGUCGGGCAGCCAACGUCGUUCUCCAACAAGUUUUCCACCUCCAUCAUCUCUCAUCAAAAGAUCGGGCACCCUUCUACCCGUUGGGUUCAUCAAGUGGUAUCAAAUUUCAGGUUGCUCGGUGAGAGAUCUCCAUCUUCCUUGUUUUAUUUACCUACAUUCCACUUUUGCCAAAGAUAUAUUUAGAGCAGAAAAUCACCUAAAAACAUUUUGAGCCUUUGCUUUACUACUUAGUUUUUGACUUGUUGAAUUCACGGUUGCUGCAUUUGUGUCGAGUUGCUGGUCCAAAGUUUCUUGCUGCUAGAGUUUCGAGUUCGUGCCACCUUGUUUAGAUCACCAUUUUUAGUUCUCUAGCUGUAGUUCAAAAAAACAAGGGAAAGGAAAAGGCAAGUGCACAAAAAAAGUCGCGCUUAUAAAAAAAGCACAUACAAAAAAAAGAGAAAAAAAUCGCAUUAAGAAUAUUGGUAGAUAAAAUUCCAUGUACAACAAAUCAAAGAUAGUGUCUGUGCCACCGUUUCAUAAUUUUAUAAGUCAGCUUGUUGUUUUGAGUAUUUGGUGAUAUCAUUUGUGUAACGGCUCGUGUCUCUAUUACGGUUUGGACUAGGACCAGCACAACACCAUUGUGGAACGUUUAUUCAACUUGUUGUGGCUAACGUGGUACUAGCUAUUCCUUGGAACUACUGUUUUAGCAGCCACCUAUCAAUCCACAAAUCUUUCUACAACACCACCAGGUUGUGCUAGCAGCCACUGUUGUUGUUCUUCUUGCUGUUUGCCAGCGCCACUUGCUUUGCGUGCUGAGAACUUGUAAGAGCUUGAUUUCUUGCUAGUGAGGCAGUGUUUAUCCAUCCACAUCAUAGCAACUACUAGGCUGCAUUACUUGUUUUUGUAUCUCUUUUGCACUAACCAUGGCAGAAGAUGCAAAUGCGCGACCUCCACAUUCUCCAUGAACAGUGGGCAUCAUUCAACAUUUCGAACGUCAAGUAAGGUUGCACACAGAUGCCCUCAAUGAAGAUGUUCAAGUCACCAAUGAGCGCAUUGGUCAAUUAGAAACAUCACAAAUUGUUACCAACAACAUAUUGACCACUUUGGAACGAACAGUUGCUGCUACUAACACCUCUCUUGCAGCAAUUAUUGAGCGCUUAGAUAGGAUGGACCAAGUUGGGCGUGAAGGUAGGCAACAAGGUGAUGAUGAUGGCCAUGGUUCCAUUGCUAGUACCGCAAGAGAUGAUUCUACGGAGUAUUCAGCAGACACCGAGCGUGAUGACCGAUCUAUUAGGCACCGACGACACCAACGACGUGAUCGCCAUGGCCUGGGUGGUCGAUCUCCACGACGUGAGGUACGUGAAAAUGAAGAUUCUCUAGGAAGAAUUAAAUUCUCCAUACCACCGUUUGAUGGAAAAUAUGAUCCUGAUGCAUAUCUAACAUGGGAAUUAUCGGUAGAUCAAAAAUUUGCUUGCUAUGAUUUUUCUGAUGAUAAAAAGGUUAGAGCUGCUAUGAGUGAAUUCACUGAUUUUGCUUCUAUUUGGUGGCAUGAGUACCAAACUACACAUCCAGCUACCAUACCACAAACUUGGAAUGCUUUAAAAAGAAUCAUGCGUAGUCGUUUUGUUCCUUCCUAUCAUGCUCGUGGUUUAUUACAUAAAUUACAACAGCUUAGACAAGGCAACAAAUAUGUUGAAGAGUAUUAUCAACAAUUACAAAUAGGCAUGUUGAGGUGUGGUCUUGUAGAAAAUGAAGAUCAGCUGCAAUGGCUAGGUUCAUGGGUGGUUUGACAAGAGAAAUUCAGGAUAUAUUAGCUUACAAGGAAUACACUAAUGUUACUCGCUUAUUUCAUCUUGCUUGUAAGGCUGAAAGAGAAGUCCAGGGACGAUGCUUGAGAACUAACACUUAUGCAGGUCGCAAUACAUCUUGGCAGUCCCGCACUAGUGCUGCUAGCUCUAACCAUGUGUUUCAGGGAGAUGCUUCCAAUAGAUCAUCCACAACACCAUCGAAAUCAGCACCUUCUCGUGCUAUUGAGACAGGGAAAGGAUCCUCCCAAGCUGUAGCCAAAUCUUCUUCUAUUGCUUCCACGGGAAGAACAAAGGACAUCCAAUGCCUCCAAUGCAAAGGAUUUGGGCACAUCCGAAGGGACUGCCCAAGCAAGCGUGUGCUAAUUAUAAGAGAAAAUGUUGAGUACUCAUCAGCCAACGAUUUAGAUAAUGAUACAUAUGCCAUGCUUGCUGCCCAAGAUGCUGAAAAGGAGAAUGAUGAUGAAGAGCAUAUUGGGGCUGAACAUGCUGAACACUAUGAGAGCCUCGUUGUAAGACGUGUCUUGAGUGCCCAAAUUAUUAAAGCUGAACAAAACCAGCGACACAAUUUGUUCCAAACUAAAUGUGUAGUUUUGGAAGGAUCUUGUCGUAUUAUAAUUGAUGGAGGAAGCUGCAACAACUUAGCAAGCACCACCAUGGUAGAGAAGCUUGGGCUGAAAACGCUUCCACAUCCACACCCCUACUACAUCCAAUGGUUCAACGACAGUGGUAAGCUUAAGGUAACACGUAUGGUCCGUGUGGAAUUUACAAUUGGUUCGUACCAUGAUUAUAUUGAUUGUGAUGUGGUACCUAUGCAAGCUUGCUCUAUGUUAUUUGGUAGACCAUGGCAAUUUGAUAAGGACACCGUGCAUCAUGGUAAAACAAAUCACUACUCUUUUAUGCAUAAUGAGAAGAAGCUUGUAUUGCACCCCAUGUCCCCCGAUGCUAUUUUGAAGGAUGAAGUUGCUAGGGCUUGCAAAGAGAAAAAUAAAUUUGUUCAUAAUAAAAAUAUAGGUGCUGCAAAGGAGUUGGUACAACAUAAGAGUGACAAUUCUAAAUCUGCUCAAGUGAGGAAGACAGAAAUACAACUGAAAAGUGCUUGUUUUCUUGCUUCCAAAUCUGAUUUGCUUGAAUUAAAUGAUGUUGCUUCAAUCUGCUAUGUAUUUAUUUGCAAGGAUGCUUUGUUCUCACUUCACAACAUACCAUCUACUUUGCCUUCUACUGUCACUAAUCUUUUGUAGGAAUAUGCUGAUGUAUUUCCAAACGAUGUGCCACCUAGCCUGCCACCGAUAAGAGGAAUUGAGCAUCAGAUUGACCUCAUCCCAGGGGCUUCCUUGCCAAACCGAGCGCCAUACAGGACGAACCCGGAAGAAACCAAGGAGAUUCAGCGACAAGUACAAGAAUUACUCGAUAAAGGUUAUGUGCGUGAGUCCCUUAGUCCUUGCUCUGUCCCUGUUUUAUUAGUCCCAAAGAAAGAUGGCUCAUGGCGCAUGUGUGUAGAUUGUCGAGCAAUUAAUAACAUUACCAUCAGAUAUCGUCAUCCUAUCCCUAGGUUAGAUGAUAUGCUGGAUGAACUUAGUGGCUCGAUGAUUUUCUCUAAAAUUGACUUACAUAGUGGAUAUCACCAAAUUCGCAUGAAGCUAGGGGAUGAAUGGAAAACAACAUUUAAAACCAAGUUUGGUUUGUAUGAGUGGUUAGUCAUGCCUUUUGGUCUCACUAAUGCACCUAGUACUUUCAUGAGAUUAAUGAAUGAGGUUUUACGUGUUUUCAUUGGAAGAUUUGUAGUCGUCUACUUCGAUGACAUCUUGAUCUAUAGCAAAUGUCUAGUAGACCAUCUUGAUUAUCUACGUGCUGUUUUCAAUGCUUUACGUGAAGCACGCUUAUUUGGUAACUGAUAGUCGCCUAGAGGGGGGGUGAAUAGGGCGAAACUGAAAUUUACAAAUAUAAACACAACUACAAGCCGGGUUAGCGUUAGAAAUAUAAACGAGUCCGAGAGAGAGGGCGCAAAACAAAUCCCAAGCGAAUAAGCAAGUGAGACACGGAGAUUUGUUUUACCGAGGUUCGGUUCUUGCAAACCUACUCCCCGUUGAGGAGGCCACAAAGGCCGGGUCUCUUUCAACCCUUCCCUCUCUCAAACGGUCCCUCGGACCGAGUGAGCUUCUCUUCUCUAAUCAAAGCCGGGAACAAAACUUCCCCGCAAGGGCCACCACACAAUUGGUGCCUCUUGCCUUGAUUACAAUGGAGUUGUGAUCUCAAGAACAAGUGAGAAAGAAAAGAAGCAAUCCAAGCGCAAGAGCUCAAAUGAACACGGCAAAUCACUCUCACUAGUCACUAGGGCUUUGUGUGGAAUUGGAGAGGAUUUGAUCUCUUUGAAUGUGUCUAGAAUUGAAUGCCUAGCUCUUGUAGUAGUUGAGAAGUGGAAAACUUGGAUGCAAUGAAUGGUGGGGUGGUUGGGGUAUUUAUAGCCCCAACCACCAAACUUGACCGUUGGCUGGAGGCGUCUGCUCGAUGGCGCACCGGACAGUCCGGUGCACACCGGACAGUCCGGUGCCCCUGCCACGUCAUCACUGCCGUUGGAUUCUGACCGUUGGAGCUUCUGACUUGUGGGCCCGCCUGGGUGUCCGGUGCACACCGGACAUGUACUGUUUGAUGUCCGGUGCACCGGUAUGGGCGAUUCUGACUUCUGCGCGCGCUGAGCGCGCAUUAAAUGCUCCGCAGGGAGCCAUUGGCGCCGCAGGGAGCCGUUGCUCCGCUGGCACACCGGACAGUCCGGUGCACACCGGACAGUCCGGUGAAUUUUAGCGGAGCGGCUGCCGCGCAAACCCGAGGCUGGCGAGUUCAGGAGGCCGAGCUUCCUUGGAGCACCGGACAUGUCCGGUGCACACCGGACAGUCCGGUGAAUUAUAGCGCGCCGGCUUCCGAGAAUUCCCGAAGGCGAAGAGUUUGAGUCUGAGUCCCCUGGUGCACCGGAUAGGUACUGUUCACUGUCCGGUGGCACACCGGACAGUCCGGUGCGCCAGACCAGGGGUGCCUUCGGUUGCCCCUUUGCUCCUUUAUUGAAUCCAAAACUUGGUCUUUUUAUUGGCUGAGGGUGAACCUUUUACACCUGUAUAAUCUAUACACUUGGGCAAACUAGUUAGUCCAAUUAUUUGUGUUGGGCAAUUCAACCACCAAAAUUAUUUAGGAACUAGGUGUAAGCCUAAUUCCCUUUCAAUCUCCCCCUUUUUGGUGAUUGAUGCCAACACAAACCAAAGCAAAUAGAGAAGUGCAUAAUUGAACUAGUUUGCAUAAUGUAAGUGUAAAGGUUGCUUGGAAUUGAGCCAAUAUAACUACUUUACAAGAUAUGCAUGGAAUGUUUCUUUCUUUAUUUAGCAUUUUGGACCACGUUUGCACCACGAGUUUUGUUUUUGCAAAUUCUUUUGUAAAUCCUUUUCAAAGUUCUUUUGCAAAUAAUCAAAGGUAAAUGAAUAAGAGUUUGUAAAGCAUUUUCAAGAUUUGAAAUUUUCUCCCCCUGUUUCAAAUGCUUUUCCUUUGACUAAACAAAACUCCCCCUAAAAGAGAUCCACCUCUUAGUGUUCAAGAGGGUUUUGAUAUACCAUUUUUGAAAUACUACUUUCUCCCCCUUUUGAACACAAUAGGAUACCAAAUGAUAAAUACUUUUGGAAAGCACUAAGUUUUUGAAUUUGGUGGUGGUGGUGCGGUCCUUUUGCUUUGGGCUCAUUUCUCCCCCUUUUUGGCAUGAAUCGCCAAAAACGGAAUCAUUAGAGCCCUCGAAGUAAGUUCUUCCUCUUUGGUCAUAAAUGAAUGAGUUAAGAUUAUACCAAAGACGAAGUCCGGUCCUUUUGCUUUUGAGCUUUUACUCUCUCCCCCAAGGAUGAAGUCCUUUUCUUUGAUGCUCAUUUCUCCCCAAGGAAUAGAGAGUUGCUCGGAGUGAUGGCGAAGCAUGAGUUACGGAGUGGAAGCCUUUGUCUUCGCCGAAGACUCCAAUUCCCUUUCAAUAUACCUAUGACUUGGUUUGAAAUAGACUUGAAAACAUAUUAGUCAUAGUACAUAAAAGAGAUAUAAUCAAAGGUAUUCAAAAGAGCUAUGUGUGCAAGCUAGCAAAAGAAAUUUCUAGAAUCAAGAAUAUUGAGCUCAUGCCUAAGUCUGGUAAAAGAUUGUUCAUCAAGAGGCUUGGUAAAGAUAUCGGCUAAUUGAUCUUUAGUGUUAAUGUAAGAAAUCUCGAUAUCUCCCUUUUGUUGGUGAUCCCUAAGAAAAUGAUACCGAAUGGCUAUGUGCUUAGUGCGGCUAUGCUCGACGGGAUUGUCGGCCAUUUUGAUUGCACUCUCAUUAUCACAUAGCAAAGGAACUUUGGUUAAUUUGUAACCAUAGUCCCGCAGGGUCUGCCUCAUCCAAAGUAAUUGCGCGCAACAAUGGCCUGCGGCAAUAUACUCGGCUUCGGCGGUGGAAAGAGCGACCAAAUUUUGCUUCUUUGAAGCCCAAGACACCAAGGAUCUUCCCAAGAACUGGCAAGUCCCCGAUGUGCUCUUCCUAUUAAUUUUGCACCCUGCCCAAUCGGCAUCCGAAUAACCAAUCAAAUCAAAUGUGGAUCCCCGAGGGUACCAAAGCCCAAACUUAGGUGUGUAAGCCAAAUAUCUCAAGAUUCGUUUUACGGCAGUAAGGUGUGAUUCCUUAGGGUCGGAUUGGAAUCUUGCACACAUGCAAACGGAAAGCAUAAUGUCCGGUCGAGAUGCACAUAAAUAAAGCAAUGACCCAAUCAUCGACCGGUAUACCUUUUGAUCCACGGAUUUACCUCCCGUGUCGAGGUCGAGAUGCCCAUUGGUUCCCAUGGGAGUCUUGAUGGGCUUGGCAUCCUUCAUUCCAAACUUGGUUAGAAUGUCUUGAGUGUACUUCGUUUGGCAAAUGAAGGUGCCCUCUUGGAGUUGCUUGACUUGGAAUCCUAGAAAAUACUUCAACUCCCCCAUCAUCGACAUCUCGAAUUUCUGUGUCAUGAUCCUACUAAACCCUUCACAUGUAGACUUGUUAGUAGACCCAAAUAUAAUAUCAUCAACAUAAAUUUGGCAUACAAACAAGUCAUUUUCAAGAGUUUUAGUAAAGAGUGUAGGAUCGGCCUUGCCAACUUUGAAGCCAUUAGCAAUAAGGAAAUCUCUUAGGCAUUCAUACCAUGCUCUUGGGGCUUGCUUGAGCCCAUAAAGCGCCUUAGAGAGCCUAUAGACAUGGUUAGGAUACUCACUGUCUUCAAAGCCGGGAGGUUGCUCAACAUAGACCUCUUCCUUGAUCGGUCCAUUGAGGAAGGCGCUUUUCACGUCCAUUUGAUAAAGCUUAAAGCCAUGGUAAGUAGCAUAGGCCAAUAAUAUGCGAAUUGACUCAAGCCUAGCUACGGGUGCAUAGGUUUCACCAAAAUCCAAACCUUCGACUUGUGAAUACCCUUUGGCCACGAGUCGAGCUUUGUUCCUUGUCACCACACCAUGCUCAUCUUGCUUGUUGCGGAAGACCCAUUUGGUUCCUACAACAUUUUGGUUAGGACGUGGAACUAAAUGCCAUACCUCAUUCCUCGUGAAAUUGUUGAGCUCCUCUUGCAUUGCCACCACCCAAUCCGAAUCUUGAAGUGCUUCCUCUACCCUGUGUGGCUCAAUAGAGGAGACAAAAGAGUAAUGUUCACAAAAAUGUGCAACACGAGAUCGAGUGGUUACCCCCUUAUGAAUGUCUCCGAGGAUGGUGUCGACGGGGUGAUCUCGUUGGAUUGCUUGGUGGACUCUUGGGUGUGGCGGCCUUGGUUCUUCCUCAUCCUCCUUUUCUUGAUCAUUUGCAUCUCCCCCUUGAUCAUUGCCAUUAUCUUGAGGUGGCUCAUCUUCUUGAUUUUGCCCUUCAUCAACUUGAGCCUCAUCCUCAUUUUGAGUUGGUGGAGAUGCUUGCAUGGAGGAGGACGGUUGAUCUUGUGCAUUUGGAGGCUCUUCGGAUUCCCUAGGACACACAUCCCCAAUGGACAUGUUCCUUAGCGCUAUGCAUGGAGCCUGUUCUUCACCUAUCUCAUCAAGAUCAACUUGCUCUACUUGAGAGCCGUUAGUUUCAUCAAACACAACGUCACAUGAGACUUCAACUAGUCCAGUGGACUUGUUAAAGACCCUAUAUGCCCUUGUGUUUGAGUCAUAACCAAGUAAAAAGCCUUCUACAGUUUUAGGAGCAAAUUUAGAUUUUCUACCUCUUUUAACAAGAAUAAAGCAUUUGCUACCAAAAACUCUAAAGUAUGAAAUGUUGGGCUUUUUACCGGUUAGGAGCUCAUAUGAUGUCUUCUUGAGGAUUCGGUGAAGAUAUAACCGGUUGAUGGCGUAGCAGGCGGUGUUGACCGCUUCGGCCCAAAACCGGUCCGGUGUCUUGUACUCAUCAAGCAUGGUUCUUGCCAUGUCCAAAAGAGUUCGAUUCUUCCUCUCCACUACACCAUUUUGUUGUGGCGUGUAGGGAGAAGAGAACUCAUGCUUGAUGCCCUCCUCCUCAAGGAAGCUUCCAAUUUGAGAGUUCUUGAACUCCGUCCCGUUGUCGCUUCUUAUUUUCUUGAUCCUUAAGGCGAACUCAUUUUGAGCCCGUCUCAAGAAUCCCUUUAAGGUCUCUUGGGUUUGAGAUUUUUCCUGUAAAAAGAAUACCCAAGUGAAGCGAGAAUAAUCAUCCACUAUUACAAGACAAUACUUACUCCCGCCGAUGCUUAUGUAAGCAAUCGGGCCGAAUAAAUCCAUGUGGAGUAGCUCAAGCGGCCUGUCGGUCGUCAUGAUGUUCUUGUGUGGAUGAUGGACUCCAACUUGCUUCCCUGCCUGGCAUGCGCUACAAAUCCUGUCUUUCUCAAAAUGAACAUUUGUUAAUCCUAAAAUGUGCUCUCCCUUUAGAAGCUUGUGAAGAUUCUUCAUCCCAACAUGGGCUAGUCGGCGAUGCCAGAGCCAACCCAUGUUAGUCUUAGCAAUUAAGCAAGUGUCGAGUUCAGCUCUAUCAAAAUCUACCAAGUAUAGCUGACCCUCUAACACUCCCUUAAAUGCUAUUGAAUCAUCACUUCUUCUAAAGACAGUGACACCUACAUCAGUGAAUAGACAGUUGUAGCCCAUUUGACAUAAUUGGGAAACAGAAAGCAAGUUGUAAUCUAAUGAAUCAACAAGAAAAACAUUAGAAAUGGAAUGGUCAGGAGAUAUAGCAAUUUUACCCAAUCCUUUGACCAAACCUUGAUUUCCAUCCCCGAAUGUGAUAGCUCGUUGGGGAUCUUGGUUUUUCUCAUAUGAGGAGAACAUCCUUUUCUCCCCGGUCAUGUGGUUUGUGCACCCGCUGUCGAGUAUCCAACUUGAGCCCCCGGAUGCAUAAACCUACAAAACAAUUUUAGUUCUUGACUUUAGGUACCCAAACUGUUUUGGGUCCUUUGGCAUUAGAUACAAGAACUUUGGGUACCCAAACGCAAGUCUUGGAGCCCUUGUGUUUGCCCCCAACAAAUUUGGCAACUACCUUGCCGGAUUUGCUAGUAAGCACAUAAGAUGCAUCAAAAGUUUUAAAUGAAAUGGCAUGAUCAUUUGAUGCAUUAGGAGUUUUCUUUCUAGGCAACUUGGCACGGGUUGGUUGCCUAGAGCUAGAUGUCUCACCCUUAUACAUAAAAGCAUGAUUAGGGCCAGAGUGAGACUUCCUAGAAUGAACUCUCCUAAUUUUGCUCUCGGGAUAACCGGCAGGGUACAAAAUGUAACCCCCGUUAUCCUGAGGCAUGGGAGCCUUGCCCUUAACAAAGUUAGACAAAUUUUUAGGAGGGGCAUUAAGUUUGACAUUGUCUCCCCUUUGGAAGCCAAUGCCAUCCUUAAUGCCAGGGCGUCUCCCAUUAUAAAGCAUGCUACGAGCAAAUUUAAAUUUCUCAUUUUCUAAGUUGUGCUCGGCAAUUUUAGCAUCAAGUUUAGCUAUAUGAUCAUUUUGUUGCUUAAUUAAGAUCAUGUGAUCAUGAAUAGCAUUAAUAUCAAUAUCUCUACAUCUAGCACAAAUAGUGACAUGCUCAAUGGUAGAUGUAGAGGGUUUGCAAGAAUCAAGUUCCACAAUCUUAGCAUGAAGAAUAUCAUUUUUAUCUUUAAGAUUGGAAAUUGUAACUUUGCAAACAUCAAAAUCCUUAGCCUUAGCAAUUAAAUCUUCAUUCUCUAAUCUAAGGCUAGCAAGAGAUGCAUUCAAUUCAUCAAUCUUAGCAAGCAAGUCAAUAUUAUCAUCUCUAAGAUUGGGAAUUGAAACAUUACAAACAUGUGAAUCAACCUUAGCAUUUAGAAUAGCAUUUUCAUUUCUAAGGUUGUCAAUCAUCUCACGGCAUGUGCUUAGCUCACUAGACAAUUUUUCACAUUUUUCUACUUCUAGAGCAUAAGCCUUUUUAACCUUAACAUGUUUCUUGUUUUCUUUAAUUAGACAAUCCUCUUGGGAGUCCAAAAGGUCAUCCUUUUCAUGAAUAGCACUAAUCAAUUCAUUUAGUUUUUCUUUUUGCUCCAUGUUAAGAUUGGCAAAGAGAAUACGCAAAUUAUCCUCCUCAUCACUAGCAUUAUCAUCACUAGACGAUUCAUAUUUAGUGGAGGAGUUGGAUUUAACCUUCUUUUUGCCGUCCUUUGCCAUGAGGCACUUGUGACCGACGUUGGGGAAGAGGAGUCCCUUGGUGACGGCGAUGUUGGCGGCGUCCUCGUCGUCGGAGGAGUCGCUUGAGCUUUCGUCGGAAUCCCAUUCCCGACAAACAUGGGCAUCGCCGCCCUUCUUCUUGUAGUACCUUUUCUUCUCCUUUCUUCUCCCCUUCUUGUCGUCGCCUCGGUCACUGUCACUAGAUAUAGGACAUUUAGCAAUAAAAUGACCGGGCUUACCACACUUGUAGCAAACCUUCUUGGAGCGGGACUUGUAGUCCUUCCCCCUCCUUUGCUUUAGGAUUUGGCGGAAGCUCUUGAUGACGAGCGCCAUUUCCUCAUUGUCGAGCUUGGAGGCGUCUAUUGGUUGUCUACUUGGUGUAGACUCCUCCUUCUUCUCCUCCGUUGCCUUGAAUGCAACGGGUUGGGCUUCGGAUGGGUCGCCAAGCUCGUUGAUUUUCCUCGAGCCUUCUAUCAUGCACUCAAAACUUACAAAAUGCCCGAUAACUUCCUCGGGGGUCAUUUUAGUAUAUCUAGGAUUACCACGAAUCAAUUGAACUUGAGUGGGAUUAAGAAAAAUGAGAGAUCUUAAAAUAACAUUUACCACUUCGUGGUCGUCCCACUUCUUGCUCCCGAGGUUGCGUACUUGGUUCACCAAAGUCUUGAGCCGGUUGUACAUGUGUUGUGGCUCCUCCCCUUUUUGAAGCCGGAACCGACCGAGCUCCCCCUCGAUCGUUUCCCGCUUGGUGAUCUUGGUGAGCUCAUCUCCCUGGUGCGCAGUUUUGAGCACAUCCCAAACCUCCUUGGCGCUCUUCAAUCCUUGCACUUUGUUAUACUCUUCUUUGCUUAAAGAGGCGAGGAGUAUCGUCGUUGCUUGAGAGUUAAAGUGCUCGAUUUGGGCCACCUCAUCCUCACCAUAGUUCUCAUCCCCUACCGACGGUACCUGUGCACCAAACUCAACAACAUCCCAUAUACUUUUGUGGAGCGAGAUUAGAUGAAAUCGCAUUAAAUCGCUCCACCUAGCGUAAUCUUCACCAUCAAAAGUUGGUGGUUUGCCUAAUGGGACGGAAAGUAAAGGUGUAUGUUUGGAAAUGCGAGGGUAGCGUAGGGGGAUCUUACUAUACUUCUUGCGCUCUUGGCGCUUAGAAGUGACGGAGGGCGCAUCGGAGUCGGAGGUAGAAGUUGAUGAAGUGUCGGUCUCGUAGUAGACCACCUUCCUCAUCCUCUUGUGCUUGUCGCCUUUCCGAUGCGGCUUGUGGGAAGAAGAUUUUUCCUUCUUCUCUUUGUGGUGAGAAGAAGAUUUCUUCUCCUUCCCUUUGUUGGAGGAGCUCUUCUUCUUCUCCCUCCUUUUGGUGCGGGACUCUUCCGAUGAAGUGCUCCCGUAGCUUGUAGUGGGCUUUUCGCCGGUCUCCAUCUCCUUCUUGGCGUGAUCUCCCGACAUCACUUCGAGCGGUUAGGCUCUAAUGAAGCACCGGCCUCUGAUACCAAUUGAUAGUCGCCUAGAGGGGGGGUGAAUAGGGCGAAACUGAAAUUUACAAAUAUAAACACAACUACAAGCCGGGUUAGCGUUAGAAAUAUAAACGAGUCCGAGAGAGAGGGCGCAAAACAAAUCCCAAGCGAAUAAGCAAGUGAGACACGGAGAUUUGUUUUACCGAGGUUCGGUUCUUGCAAACCUACUCCCCGUUGAGGAGGCCACAAAGGCCGGGUCUCUUUCAACCCUUCCCUCUCUCAAACGGUCCCUCGGACCGAGUGAGCUUCUCUUCUCUAAUCAAAGCCGGGAACAAAACUUCCCCGCAAGGGCCACCACACAAUUGGUGCCUCUUGCCUUGAUUACAAUGGAGUUGUGAUCUCAAGAACAAGUGAGAAAGAAAAGAAGCAAUCCAAGCGCAAGAGCUCAAAUGAACACGGCAAAUCACUCUCACUAGUCACUAGGGCUUUGUGUGGAAUUGGAGAGGAUUUGAUCUCUUUGAAUGUGUCUAGAAUUGAAUGCCUAGCUCUUGUAGUAGUUGAGAAGUGGAAAACUUGGAUGCAAUGAAUGGUGGGGUGGUUGGGGUAUUUAUAGCCCCAACCACCAAACUUGACCGUUGGCUGGAGGCGUCUGCUCGAUGGCGCACCGGACAGUCCGGUGCACACCGGACAGUCCGGUGCCCCUGCCACGUCAUCACUGCCGUUGGAUUCUGACCGUUGGAGCUUCUGACUUGUGGGCCCGCCUGGGUGUCCGGUGCACACCGGACAUGUACUGUUUGAUGUCCGGUGCACCGGUAUGGGCGAUUCUGACUUCUGCGCGCGCUGAGCGCGCAUUAAAUGCUCCACAGGGAGCCGUUGGCGCCGCAGGGAGCCGUUGCUCCGCUGGCACACCGGACAGUCCGGUGCACACCGGACAGUCCGGUGAAUUUUAGCGGAGCGGCUGCCGCGCAAACCCGAGGCUGGCGAGUUCAGGAGGCCGAGCUUCCUUGGAGCACCGGACAUGUCCGGUGCACACCGGACAGUCCGGUGAAUUAUAGCGCGCCGGCUUCCGAGAAUUCCCGAAGGCGAAGAGUUUGAGUCUGAGUCCCCUAGUGCACCGGACAGGUACUGUUCACUGUCCGGUGGCACACCGGACAGUCCGGUGCGCCAGACCAGGGGUGCCUUCGGUUGCCCCUUUGCUCCUUUAUUGAAUCCAAAACUUGGUCUUUUUAUUGGCUGAGGGUGAACCUUUUACACCUGUAUAAUCUAUACACUUGGGCAAACUAGUUAGUCCAAUUAUUUGUGUUGGGCAAUUCAACCACCAAAAUUAUUUAGGAACUAGGUGUAAGCCUAAUUCCCUUUCAGUAACCUUGACAAGUGCACAUUUUGCACAGACCGUGUCUCUUUUCUUGGCUGUGUUGUGACACCGCAGGGAAUUGAAGUUGAUCAGGCUAAGGUGAAGGCCAUACAUAGCUGGCUAGUCCCUACCACGGUCACGCAAGUCCGAAGCUUUCUCGGGCUUGUGGGGUUCUAUCGUCGAUUUGUGAAAGAUUUCAGCACCAUCGCAGGGCCAUUGCAUGAGCUUACUAAGAAGGGUGCUCCAUUUUCUUGGGGCAAGGCGCAAGAGAUUGCAUUUGAAACAUUGAAGGAUAUGUUAACUCAUACACCCCUUCUCCAAUUACCUGAUUUCAGUAAGACUUUUGAAUUGGAAUGUGAUGCUAGUGGUAUUGGUUUGGGUGGUGUCUUGUUGCAAGAAGGGAAGCCUGUUUCUUAUUUUAGUGAGAAACUGAAUGGACCCAGUUUGAACUAUUCCACUUAUGAUAAAGAAUUAUAUGCCUUAUUUCGAACUUUGGAAACAUGGCAACACUACUUAUGGCCUAAAGAAUUUGUUAUACAUUAUGAUCAAGAAUCUUUAAAGCAUCUAAGGAGCCAAACAAAUCUAAACCAUAGGCAUGCCAAGUGGGUCGAAUUUAUUGAAUCUUUUCCCUAUGUCAUCAAACAUAAGAAAGGAAAAGAUAAUGUCAUUGCAGAUGCCUUGUCUCGCUGUUAUACCAUGCUGUCUCAACUUGAUUUUAAGAUUUUUGGCUUGGAAACAAUUAAACAACAAUAUGUUUUCGAUGCUGAUUUCAAAGAUGUGCUAUUACAUUGUAAAGAAGGAAGGACAUGGAACAAAUUUGUUCUCACUGAUGGCUUUGUGUUUCGGGCUAACAAAUUAUGCAUUCCAGCUGGUUCUGUGCGUAUAUUAUUAUUACAGGAAGCACAUGGCGUUGGGUUGAUGGGACACUUUGGUGUGAAGAAGACAGAAGACAUCCUGGCCAGCCAUUUCUUUUGGCCGAAGAUGAGAAGAGACAUGGAGCGAUUUGUUGCUCGCUGCACUACAUGUCAAAAAGCUAAGUCUCGCCUUAAUUCACAUGGUUUAUACAUGCCUCUCCCAGUUCCUAGUGCACCAUGGGAGGAUAUUUCUAUGGACUUUGUUUUAGGGCUACCUAGAACAAAGAAGGGGAGGGAUAAUAUUUUUGUUGUUGUGGACAGAUUUUCAAAAAUGGCACACUUUAUACCAUGUCACAAAACUGAUGACGCUACCCAUGUUGCUGAUUUGUUCUUUCGUGAAGUUGUUCGUUUGCAUGGGGUUCCAAACACUAUUGUAUCCGAUCGGGAUACCAAAUUUCUUAGUCAUUUUUGGAAAACGUUAUGGGCUAAGUUGGGAACUAAAUUGCUCUUUUCUACUACUUGUCACCCUCAAACCGAUGGACAAACCAAAGUCGUAAACCGUAGUUUAUCUACCAUGCUUAGGGCUGUUCUGAAACAUAACAUCAAAUUAUGGGAAGAAUGUUUGCCUCACAUUGAAUUUUCUUAUAAUCAUUCUCAGCAUUCUACAACUAAACUAUGCCCUUUUAAAAUUGUGUAUGGUUUUGUCCCUCGUGCUCCUUUUGAUCUUAUUGCCAUCCCACAUUCUGAAAUAAUGAAUUUUGAUGCUUCUCGUCGUGCUGAACUGAUUAUAAAACUGCAUGAACAAACUAAAGGAAAUAUUAAAGCCAUGAAUGCUAAGUAUGAAGAAGCAGGUAGCAAGGGUAGAAAGCAUAUUACCUUUGAACCUGGUGAUUUAGUAUGGGUGCAUUUAAGGAAAGAUAGAUUCCCUGAUAUGCGCAAAUCUAAAUUACAACCAAGAGCUGCUGGACCCUUCAAAGUGCUUCACAAAAUUAAUGAUAAUGCAUAUAAAGUUCAGUUGCCUGCAGAUUUUGGGGUCAGUUCCUCUUUUAACAUUGCAGAUUUAACACCAUACUUGGGAGAGAAUGACACGUUUGAGUCGAGGACGACUUUGUUGCAAGAAGGGGAGGAUGAUGAGGACAUCACUAUCAAUGAUACAACCAUACCAGUGACCACUUCACCAUUCGUAGCUAAUCAAGGACCAAUGACACGAGCCUGUGCACGUAAACUUAAUUAUCAGGUGAACUCGUUCCUUGCCAUUGAAGCUAAUUCUUCUUUAAAUGAGGUACUAAAUGAUGAGGAUAUCCUCCACUAUUACCCGUUGGCAAAGACGCAAUUGGCCUAGUUGGGCCAAUUGUAGUCGGACGGUGACCGUGUGAGCCUCAGAAUUAUCCCACCUCGCUUAACUUGGGAGGAGGAAGCCACUUUAAAAGGGAGAGCCACCCUUCCCCCAUUGGACUAGUCUUUUGGGGCGAUUGGGCCUUUCCCUGAGUUGGGUGUGCAUAAUGAACUGUUGGGCUCUGGGCAACCCUAAUUUGUUGGGCCUCGGCCAAACCCACCUGGGCUAGGUGUAUCAUCUGGUAUCAGAGCUAGGGCCCAUUUUAAGAAGGUGGGAAUGAUGAGGAUAUCCUCCACUAUUACCCGUUGGCAAAGACGCAAUUGGCCUAGUUGGGCCAAUUGUAGUCGGACGGUGACCGUGUGAGCCUCAGAAUUAUCCCACCUCGCUUAACUUGGGAGGAGGAAGCCACUUUAAAAGGGAGAGCCACCCUUCCCCCAUUGGACUAGUCUUUUGGGCGAUUAGGCCUUUCCCUGAGUUGGGU